UGCGGUGAUGAUUGUUUGCUUACUUUCUGACACCUCUUGUAUGAGAAGCGCCUCCUCAUCCUCUGGAGGAGAAGAGCACUUCGCUGAGCAGGUUGUAGCAACUUCCUGAGCU
Molecule: small nucleolar RNA, 112 nt
Organism: Phragmites australis (common reed)
Lineage: Eukaryota; Viridiplantae; Streptophyta; Magnoliopsida; Poales; Poaceae
Product: small nucleolar RNA snoR1
Exons: 1
Source: RefSeq, a predicted model, not a curated record